AUGAACCGCUAUGGUAUGCCAUUCAUACCUUUUGUUGGUCUUAACAAUCACCGGAAGACCAAUGUUUUUGGUUGUGCCAUAGUUUCGGACGAGACCAAGGAGACAUACGUGUGGCUUCUGCAGACUUUUUUGAGGUCCAUGUGUCAAAAGAUGCCUAAGAGUGUUAUCAUAGACACCAACGCUGCGAUGAUCAAGGCAAUUCGCGAAGUCUUGCCAGACGUGUGGCACCGUAUAUGUACGUGGCACAUAGAGAAAAAUAUGAAGAUUCACCUCAGUCACAAGUCCUUGAAGGAGUUCCAAACUCUUUUG
RNAcentral lists this ribosomal RNA (309 nucleotides) under Triticum aestivum (bread wheat). Its description in RNAcentral is "partial small subunit ribosomal RNA". Lineage: Eukaryota; Viridiplantae; Streptophyta; Magnoliopsida; Poales; Poaceae. The record is from RNAcentral.